This 512-nucleotide transfer RNA is filed under the name Xanthomonas axonopodis. The stretch from base 114 to 186 matches the Rfam family "tRNA". Lineage: Bacteria; Pseudomonadati; Pseudomonadota; Gammaproteobacteria; Lysobacterales; Lysobacteraceae. The record is from RNAcentral.
GGCUGGAUCACCUCCUUUUGAGCAUGACGUCAUCGUCCUGUCGGGCGUCCUCACAAAUUACCUGCAUUCAGAGAUGCGUAUCGGCACAGGCCGGUAUGCGAAAGUCCCAUCAUGGGGCCUUAGCUCAGCUGGGAGAGCACCUGCUUUGCAAGCAGGGGGUCGUCGGUUCGAUCCCGACAGGCUCCACCAUUUGAGUGAAACGACUUUGGGUCUGUAGCUCAGGUGGUUAGAGCACACCCCUGAUAAGGGUGAGGUCGGUGGUUCGAGUCCUCCUAGACCCACCACUCUGAAUGUAGUGCACACUUAAGAAUUUAUAUGGCUCAGCCGUUGAGGCUGAGACAUGUUCUUUUACAACUUGUGACGUAGCGAGGACCGUUUGAGAUAUCUAUCUAAACGUGUCGUUGAGGCUAAGGCGGGCACUUCAAGUCCCUAGAAAUUAGAGUCGUAUCCGUUGGUGGCUUUGGUACCACACGCAACACGGCGUUAUGGCCCCGAGGCAACUUGGGGUUAUA